UGUAAUACAAUUGAUGAGACUACUUUUCCUUUUAAUUUGGCUCGUCAUUGAAGUGCCGUAAAAUAUAUAGGGUUCCUACAAAGAAAAACUAAACACAAACUAUAUAUAAAAUAAAACAAAAUCCUAAUUAGUCUAACUAAAAAAAUAAAAAUCAUCCAAAAUUAAAAUAAGUCUUAAAAAUAUAAACCCAAAUAAAACUUAAAAAUGUAUAGAAUUACUUGAAAUCAGGUUCCAACUCUUCCAUCAUUGGUGCUUUGCCCCUUUCGCGCCC
RNAcentral lists this long non-coding RNA (271 nucleotides) under Gossypium raimondii (Peruvian cotton). RNAcentral describes it as "long non-coding RNA (GRAI_LNC001940)". The record is from RNAcentral. Lineage: Eukaryota; Viridiplantae; Streptophyta; Magnoliopsida; Malvales; Malvaceae.